This is a long non-coding RNA of Vidua chalybeata, 363 nucleotides long. RefSeq lists it as uncharacterized. Lineage: Eukaryota; Metazoa; Chordata; Aves; Passeriformes; Viduidae. The transcript has 3 exons. The record is from RefSeq and is a predicted model, not a curated record.
UCCCUAGCCCGGCGUGGCGCGCGCCCGCUCCCAUUUCCAUGGCGACGGGAACGCCGCCGGUUCCGCGGCCGCUGCGGCCCCGGUAACCGGGAUCACCAGGGAGAGCGGCUGCGGCCUAUCUCUGCCCAAAACAAUUCCCAAAUGGACACUGCAGAAGCGGCUGCUGCGUUUCUUUGGCACGUCUGUAUCCUCUACCACAGCUGCCUGAUCAUACAUGGGUGUUUGUAUCAAGCAGUGAAGAGGGUCUAGUUGCAGGAGCAACCACCUGCCAGGCACACAGGUACGGAGAGGUGUGAUUACAGAGAAUUGCAGAAAACUACUUUUCCCCUGCUAUUUUUGAUCCAGCUGGCAAGAAUUGUAAAG